Molecule: small RNA, 125 nt
Filed under: Marmota monax (woodchuck)
Lineage: Eukaryota; Metazoa; Chordata; Mammalia; Rodentia; Sciuridae
Source: RNAcentral
GCCGGGCGUUGUGGUACACGCCUGUAAUCCCAGGGACUCAGGAGGCUGAGUCAGGAGGAUCCUGAGUUCAAAGCCAGCCUCAGCAAAAUCAAGGCACUAAGCAACUCAGUGAGACCCUGUCUCUA